This 199-nucleotide long non-coding RNA is filed under the name Nicotiana benthamiana. RNAcentral's name for it is "long non-coding RNA (NBEN_LNC011978)". The record is from RNAcentral. Lineage: Eukaryota; Viridiplantae; Streptophyta; Magnoliopsida; Solanales; Solanaceae.
UCAUUAAAAUUCUCUUUCCCUCUUAGAAGAAUUGGUUAGAGCAUAGUCCCUCUAGCCUACUUUUAUAUGUUUUUGACUUGUAAUUCAAAUUUUCAGCUUGAAUAAUAAUUAUUAAUCAACUUUAUAUUUAUUUAUUACAAAGGGGACAUCCAGUGCUGCAACAAUUAUAGGAGUAUCAAAUUGAUAAGUCACACCAUGA